UUUUUUUUGGUUUUCUUCUUCUCGUAUUGAAAAAUUCUUUCUCCUUUUCGUGCUAAGAUUUUGUUCAUUUUGAUUUUCUUUCAUCUGACUUGUAUGAGCGAGAUUGUAAUUUGUGGGUUUUGUUUGCAGUGAGGACUCGUAGAUUGCAACAGAAGAAGCAUUGCUUUCUCUCAAAAGCAUGUGAUGUUGCCUUUGUAUCUUCCAUGACUCUGAUCCAAUGACCCACUGCUCCCAUCAAAAACAUCUUUUGAGUUGGAAAAUGCAUUGAACCAUAUUCGCCAUCCUAUCCGAUCCUAUCCCUCGCAUCCGUACGGUGACAAACGGAUAAGCUCAAGUCAAGUCGACAAUCAGGAUGGUGCCAAGAGUUAUUUGGAAACCUCCCUACUAACACCUGGAAAAACUUGAUUGGCGGAUUGGAUCGGACCCGACUAGGAUUGGAUUCAAAUGUCGAGAUUUAUAUACGAUCGUAGAGGUAAUUAAAUCUUCAUGAACAUGGAAGUUUCCUACUCAAUAAUUUUAUUUUGUCGGUGGUAA
Molecule: non-coding RNA, 534 nt
Organism: Musa acuminata subsp. malaccensis (wild Malaysian banana)
Lineage: Eukaryota; Viridiplantae; Streptophyta; Magnoliopsida; Zingiberales; Musaceae
Source: RefSeq, a predicted model, not a curated record